UAUUAUCUACAGUCAGAAAUGCACCAAUACCCUGACAUAAGUGUGUUUCCAGACAGCCUAGAACCUGUCAUUUUAUUGCAUUUUACCCUUCAGUUGCUCCUAGAAUCUAUUUCAAAUGAAAGGGUAAAAGUGAUCAUAGAAAUAGGUUAGGUAAGAGGAAAGGAAGACAGAAAUGUUCACAAGUUGCAAACAGGAAAAAGAAAUAGGACAACAGGGCUUCGGAAAGGCUGCAAACACAUCGGUAAACACACAGAGACUGUCCUGGAACAACCCUGAUGUUUGCCUUUGCUCUGAUGGUGCAAUGUGGUCUAGUGGUCUGACCAACUGGGAAUCCAGAGCCUGGGUUCUCUGUUUUGCUUCAGACUCACUGUUCCAUACUGAAUGGCCUUGGAUCAGGUUUCUUGAUCUGAGAGAUAGGCGGAUUUCCCUGCUGUGAGGCUCAAUGUUUAGAAGUAGAAAGGUUGCAGAGGGGUGAAGGACAUGGUUACGAUUAAAGCAAGACUAUCCUAUGUGAACGAUCAAUGAACAAAGUUUUAUUCUUACUUGCGCAUUUAGAGUCAAACACCAGUCUUCUCUGCCUGGUACGAUGGGUUGGUUUGUUUGUUUUGUUGAGGUCCCUGAUAAUCCAGGCAGUUUGCAAAGGGCUAGGGGUGCGUGUGAAGGGUGAAGGGAAUCAUCUAUUGACAGUCUUUGGUGGUUUCCUGUGUUUUGCACGUCCCUUCUCCCCAUCCCCAGCACUGACCUCUUUUUUUUUUUAAACUUAGGAAUUUAUAUUACAGUGUUAGAUUUUAUAAUUAACAUGGCUACUUACAUAUAUUUUUCUCUAAAUGAUCUCAUAUUUGCAUAUUUUAAAAAUAUUCAAGCACAUCUUAAGUUCUCUUUCAAGGCAACCAUGUUUAAAGAAAGCCCCGCUUCUGUUACAAUUCCACACUCCUUGGAGCGGUGAGAUUAGCCGGGCUCGCAGAUCAGGGAAAUCCAUAAAUAGUUAAAAGCCUCCAGCCCGUGGUAAAGAGGAAGUAAAAUAGACUUAUCUCAUGACCCCAAAACACAUCAAAAACUGCAAAAUAAUGAACCUUUGACUUGGCAUUUAAACAAAAUAGGAUAGAGUGAGAAUUUUGUUAUUUCUGAAGUGGGUUUUCAUCUCCAUGUUGAAGUCAAAGAAACUUGGAAAUAAUUAUGCUUUCUUUGAUUUCAACGUGCAAGCUUUAAUAAGAAAAUUACUGCUUUUGUUUUUUAAAUCAUGUAAUCACUCAAGAGGAAUUGAUUCACAAUUAUUGCUAUUAAGCCUUAUGAACAAGUUACAAAAUAUGAAAGCUGAUUCUUUAAAAUAUACAUUCCAUGUUUAGUAGAUUUUUUUUUAAUGUUGAACAUUGUUUUCUUUUUCGAGCUCAUUUCUGGCUCGCAAAGCCUAGAAAAAUGGUCUGAAUCAAUAGUAACUUUUUUCCCUCUUACUUCUUCCUUCUCUUCUCCUUCCUUCCCACCAUUCUUUCUUUUUCUUCCUCUACUUUUCUCCCCAAUGUGUUUGAGUGCCUACUGUGUACCUGGCAUGUUGAUGCCAAGUGCCUUGGAUUUAAAGGUGAAAAAGACCCAGGUUCUUCAGAGAGCAGCCCCAGGAAACAGACAGCAAACCCCACUUACCUGUGUGACCAAAGGUACUGAGAGCCCGAGCAAGACACCCAGCCAACCAGGCCACAGGAAGUGGGGUUGCAGGGAGAGCUGCUCAGAGGAGGACUAGCCCCAGCGUUGCAGCACGGGGCACACACACUGGGAUGUGCCUGCCACAUGGUAUGUUGUGUCUCCUGUCAUACUUCCUACUCGAUGUCACCCUUGAAGGUCUCAGGCCAUCUCUGCUGAGAAGCCUUUGUUUAAUGGCUCAGAUAGAACCCAUGACUUCCCCCAUCUCUGGGCACUCCUGGAACCUGACUCACCGUUCUGUUAUGAUUCUGACACUGAGUCCGCUCUCCAUCAAAUAAGGCCCUUAAAAAUGUCUGUGAGAUGGGAGACUUAUCUUUCUUGACGGGCCCUAGUGCACAGCACGCGGUCAUUUCGUAACCUCAAUAAGUAGAACACAAAAAGUAUACUUUGGCAGCUAAUCUGUGCAAAUUAUAUUUCGACUGUAGAACUAUGGAGCUAUGCAAAAGGUAAGUAUAUUUGUUUAGCUUAACCUAGUUACUGGAGCAAUUUCUGAAGCCUCCUUAUUCAUUUCAGGUUUUAGGCAUCUGAUCGACCGGAGCCAACAGGGACUCAUUUUGGAGAGCACUGCAUUACUAGGUCUCAUUCUGGUGCAAUGCACACUAUUACUAUCAGCAAAGUGCUUUUGAUUUACCAGGAAAUCUUUUGACAAAGCUAGUCUCCCUUCAGGGAAGUGUGGGUGGUGGUGAGUGGGACAGAGGAGUAAAAAAAGAGACACUCCAAAUAAAGCAGUGAAGUUCUUCUGCGCUGUUACAAUGCGAUCUAAUUAGACAAAGCAGAUUUGCUCUUUAAUUUCCUUUAGCAGAGAUUGAUACUACAAAUCUUUGUAAAAAGGAGUGUUUUACGGGCAGAAACCAACAUGUGACACUUUCUAGAGGCAAACGGUGUAUAAAUUUAGACUUUGCUAAAAUAACUAGUUAUCAUGUGAUCCAAUCUUAACGGGCUUUUAAAAAUCCGCAAGGAAAAUAUAUUUUAUUAGUUUAACUUGGUUGUUAGAGCCCUGUCUCCAUGCAUGAUUUACUCGGACACGUGGCGUGUGUUUGGAAAAAUCAAACCUCCUUUGGGAACUGCACUCUUAAGAUAUUUGUUCAGAGAUGUUCAAGCUGUCAGUUACAAGAUGCUUGAGCCAGAAAUGGGCAAGUCCGGGUAAAAGUGCAGUUGUUAUGUAGCCAUUCUGUGUGUAUGUUUGACAGUUGUGGUCAAAUAUAUAGGUGUCAUCUCCCUCAAGUAAUCUUCACCAUCUGUUACCUCAGCUCAUCUUAGGGCUCAUAAUUGUGUUGUUUCUCUUAGGACCAA
This is a non-coding RNA of Vicugna pacos (alpaca), 2988 nucleotides long. The record is from RefSeq and is a predicted model, not a curated record. Lineage: Eukaryota; Metazoa; Chordata; Mammalia; Artiodactyla; Camelidae.